CAGCAAAGGAGGCCUUCGGCGGCCACCGGUUUACAAGAGAGUAGACAAGGCAGCGCUGCCCCCGUGUGUAGCGGGGCAUUCAGGGAGAACCAGUAGCUUAUGAUAGUUCCCUGCAUCCUCUUACCGAAUGUCUAGUAAAUUCUCAAAUCAGUUUUUGUUUUUUAUUUCCCAGAGUCCUCACUGAAGAAGGCCACAUUACAGUCACUGCCUGCUUCUCCACUGGGAUGCAAUGACUCCCUUCCUAUGUCCCUGCUGCAGUGAAGAAAUGAUGUCCUUUUAUCCAGAUGUCCCCAAAAGUCCAUUUCCUGGGAUGGAAACAUAAACCAGGAAGACUCAUGGGACACUUUGCACUCAGAGCUUCUUCUCCAUUGUGUAUCCUUCCAUUUCUUUAAUGACAAGAGAAGAAAACCCUCUCCAGGAAAAAAAGGUCCCUGCCUUACCCACAGGACAAAGCAAAAGAGCAUCCAUUAGCCCAGGAGUGAUUUACCUCUCUGAAGCUAUGGGAUAUGUAACAAAUCUUCCUCGCGGCCAAGAGCCACAAGAUGUAUAUCGCAUACUGCAGAUGGCUGAAAGAAGAGACAGCUCUGAGAGCAGUUCAGAGGUGGGAGAUAAGGUUAUCAUCAUGCCACUGCUGGACAGGCUGUACUCAGUCCUGGGGCCAUUUUGGGACAGUGGCUUUGGCAGUUCAUCUUCAUGUACUUGUGAGGAUUAAGAUUAUCCAAGAGCCACAGUGGCAGCACAGUUCAUUGACAGUCAUAUGGUAUAGCCUACACCUGGGCCAUGCUGGGCCUGCUCAGGACUGCGAAAUUUCCAUAUGAUUAGUUUUCCAUGGCUUUGAAUGCAUGAAAAGAGGAAUCUGUAGACAUGUAGCCCAGUAAAUACAGUAUUGCCAUAUCUAGUUAAUAGGCCACAGACUUUGUACUGAGUUUGCAAGGCCUCAGGACUGAGGAUUGUCAAACAUGCUUUUUCUGAACUUGUCUUGAUCUGCCAGGAGCAUGGUUUUUAUUUGAUUUAGCUGUUAACCGCAAUUUUUCUAAUGAUCAGGAAGCUAUGCCUAAUUUGUUUUACUUUCCCAUAUCUUUGUAUGGUACAACUCUAUGAUUUUUAUGUAGACAGUAGUAACAACUACUGAUUCUGUGUGGAAUGAGAUAUUUGUGACUCUAAUGUAAUGCAAGAAUACAGGCCUGAUAUGACAGCAGAGGCCUUGCAAAUGGAGACAAAGGAUGCAGUGUGGAGCAGUACAUGCAUGAGAUGAUAAGGGAUGGGGCAUAAGCUGGCACUGGAGGCCCUAAGACUAUAAACAACUCACCACUAGUCAGUUAAAGAAAUUCAGACCUGCAGCUGCACAAAACUGAUUUUAGGAGUAACAAAGAGUAUAAACAAGAAGUAUCCAACAUAUGUAAACCACACCACAUAUAGUAAAUUGGAGUGUAAUGUGAACGGGCAGACCAAUAAUGAAAGAGCAAGGCGUAAAAGCAUGUUAGCAAACAUAAAAAUGAACCCAAGUAAACCCUAGAGUGACAAAGUGAUCACCAUCACCAUCACACUGCUCCCAACAAAGGAUCUGGGAUGCUAAUUUCUUGCUGUACUCCCCUACCAGCCAUCAACGUUAGGACCUUGAGGGGCAGAGGAAAGGUGAGUGUAACACUAGAAAAAGGUAUAGAUACUAAAAAGUGCGUGUAUAACAAUUUUAGCUAUUAUUAUUGUUGAGACUUCUUCCGUAUAGUAAUAUUCUUUAUUUUUUCUUUAUUUUCCUGUGAUAAUUAGACCUGGACUAAUAAUAAUUCUUUGAUUAGACUGUCAAGAUUUCAAUUAUACUAACAAUAAAUUCCUAGCUUUAUAUAUUCCUUUUUUUGCC
Long non-coding RNA from Apteryx rowi (Okarito brown kiwi), 1858 nucleotides. NCBI's taxonomy places the organism in Eukaryota, Metazoa, Chordata, Aves, Apterygiformes, Apterygidae. The record is from Ensembl.